This 468-nucleotide ribosomal RNA is filed under the name uncultured bacterium. RNAcentral's name for it is "partial 16S ribosomal RNA". It matches the Rfam family "Bacterial small subunit ribosomal RNA", at positions 28 to 507 of the family's 1533-position model. The record is from RNAcentral.
GACGAACGCUGGCGGCGUGCUUAACACAUGCAAGUCAAACGGAAAGGCCCUGCUUUUGUGGGGUGCUCGAGUGGCGAACGGGUGAGUAACACGUGAGUAACCUGCCCUUGACUUUGGGAUAACUUCAGGAAACUGGGGCUAAUACCGGAUAGGAGCUCCUGCUGCAUGGUGGGGGUUGGAAAGUUUCGGCGGUUGGGGAUGGACUCGCGGCUUAUCAGCUUGUUGGUGGGGUAGUGGCUUACCAAGGCUUUGACGGGUAGCCGGCCUGAGAGGGUGACCGGCCACAUUGGGACUGAGAUACGGCCCAGACUCCUACGGGAGGCAGCAGUGGGGAAUAUUGCACAAUGGGCGGAAGCCUGAUGCAGCAACGCCGCGUGCGGGAUGACAGCCUUCGGGUUGUAAACCGCUUUCGCCUGUGACGAAGCGUGAGUGACGGUAAUGGGUAAAGAAGCACCGGCUAACUACGUG